GGAAGAGGGUGCCAUUUGGGACACAAUCUCAACUCCCACAACAACAAACUGGUCCCUGAGGUAAAAGAGAGAUGAGGGAAGCCAUCAAGACCAUUGGGAGGGAUAGAAGACAUUACUGUAAUUCCAGGACACAUUCUGAAACUCAAAGGUUGGAGACUUGUGCUAAAAGAACAUAGCAAAUUAAUCUAAAAAGGCUCCGACGAGAGGGAGAGGAGGCCUGAGAAGUCUGUCAAGCAACUGUGAAUGUUAGAACUUUUAAAGGAGUGUGGGAAGAAGGAGAAAAGGGAAGGAGUCAGAGAACUGGCAGUGUGGUGCCAAAACAACAACCUCUCCCUCAAUGUGAGCAAGACAAAGGAGCUGAUCAUGGACUACAGGAAAAGGAGACAAUAUUUGGCAUGGGCCCCCAGAUCCUCAAAAGGUUCUACAGCUGCACCAUCGAGAGCAUCCUGACCGGUUGCAUCACAGCCUGGUAUGGCAACUGCUCGGCAUCUGACCGUAAGGCGCUACAGGGGGUAGUGCGAACGGCCCAGUACAUCAAUGGGGCCAAGCUUCCAGCUAACCAGGACCUAAAUAAUAGGCGGUGUCAGAGGAAAGCCCAUAAAAUUGUCAGAGACGGCACCCAAGUUAUAGACUCUUUUCUCUGCUACCGCACGGCAAGCGGUACCAGAGCACCAAGUCUAGGACCAAAAGGCCCCUCAACAGCUUCUACCCCCAAGCCAUUAGACUGCUGAACAAUUCAUAAAAAUCGCCACCAGACAAUUUACAUUGACCCCCCUUGUAAACUGCUGCUACUCGCUGUUUUUUUGUUAUGUCACUUCGCCCCCACCUACAUGUAAUGAUUGCCUCAACUAGCCUAUACCCCUGCACACUGACUCGGUACCGGUGCCCCCUGUAUAUAGCCUCGUUAUUGUUAUUCUUGUGUUACUUUUAAUUGUUACUUUUUAUUUUAGCCUACUUGGUAAAUAUUUUCUUUUUUUUAACUGCAUUGUUGGUUUAGGGCUUGUAAGUAAACAUUUAACGGUAAAGUCUACACUUGUUGUAUUCCGCACAUGUGGCAAAUAAAGUUUGAUUUGAUA
This is a long non-coding RNA of Oncorhynchus tshawytscha (Chinook salmon), 1076 nucleotides long. Lineage: Eukaryota; Metazoa; Chordata; Actinopteri; Salmoniformes; Salmonidae. The record is from Ensembl.